Molecule: non-coding RNA, 21 nt
Filed under: Arabidopsis thaliana (thale cress)
Lineage: Eukaryota; Viridiplantae; Streptophyta; Magnoliopsida; Brassicales; Brassicaceae
Source: RNAcentral
UGGGCACUCUCGGUGUUUCCC